RNAcentral lists this long non-coding RNA (1445 nucleotides) under Pogona vitticeps (central bearded dragon). RNAcentral's name for it is "lncRNA (ENSPVIG00000021075.1)". Lineage: Eukaryota; Metazoa; Chordata; Lepidosauria; Squamata; Agamidae. The record is from RNAcentral.
AUGGCUUCCUUAAGCCACUCAAUUGGUCUCAUGUUCGGUCCUCCUCUUUUCCUGAUGCUGACAAUUUUCCCCAGCAUUAUUAUUUUUCUAGCAAGUCUUUGCCUCCAACAGUGUGCCCAGAGUUCAGAAGCCUCGGUUUUAUCAUUUUUUUUCUUUUUGUUGUUCUGUUGUGAUGUAAGUGGGUGGGGUGUUACAAGCACAACGUGGAGAAUACACUAUCCACCGCCCGCCACGCCACUUCAGGGAUCACGUCUCCAAUCAAAAUCAGAACUCUUCUGCAAGUCCUUUAAAAUAAAUUGCAGCAGCAAGAGAGAAACUAUUCUAAAAUCAAUGGAAACCUUUUUUUUUUGAGACCUCAAGAGUAAACUUCCCUCAUCUUUUGAAGGCAGAAGAUGGUGGAAAGGCUACAGCCUAGACUUCUUCCUUGCUAACGAGUCGAUAGCCCACCAGUGUGUGAAGUCCAUCUGUACCCCAAGGCCAAAGACACAGCCGUGGUCCAUCACGUGUACCAACUCACGGUGCCAGUCCGACCACCAAGAGUGUAUCGUUCUGCAAGAGACGUACAUUUUGAAUAGCCAACGGGCAGAAUUCAGCACAGCACUGGAGUGAAUUUUAUUGAACAUCAGCCUGGCCCCAGAGGCAAUGGAAGGCUCACCUCCCAGGAUCUGCGGUUCACAUAAUUUACAUCUGACUCUCUUCUGGUUUCAUUUCAUUGGUUUCAAUGUUUCUGCUCCAGCGCAGUCAAAUCUCUUGCAAGAUUCACAGAUACGACCUACAAUUUAGAACAGUGUCUUUCACAGUUCAGUACACUAGAAAGACCAACAAGUGGGUCCUGGAUGAACUCUCUUGAGUAGUGGUUCUCAACCUUGGGUCCCCAGAUGUUCUUGGACUACAACUCCCAGAAGUCUUCACCAUUCCAUGGCUAAAUGGUUUUCACCACUAGAAAGCUCUUUCUAAUGUUUAGUCAAAUUCUCCUUUCUUGUGACUUAAAUCUCUUACUUCCAGCCUUCAUCACUUGAGCAGCUCCAUCCUUCUUGAGGCAUCCUUUCGACUACUUGAAAAAGGCGUCCAGAUCGCCUUUCUGCCUUCUCUGCUCCCCGCUAAACAUGCCAGGUUCCCUCAACCGUUCCUUGCAGAGCCUGGUUUCCAAACGUCUUGCCAUUUUUGCUCUCUGAACAUUAGUAAGAUCAGAGCCGGUGUGGAGCAGCGGACUUCACGUUGAGAGAGCUGUGUUCAAAUCUCCACGAAAACACACACGGGAUGAUCUCGGAGCUGUCACGCUUUCCCAGACUGGCCUGGGUUUCAGGUUAAUGGUUAGGAUGAAGUUGGGAGGAGAUGACGACUCCUGCAUACUGCCUUGAGUUAAUUAGAUGAGAGGCAGGAAGACAAUGUAACUCAUAGAUACAUUAAAUAAAUCAGGGGAAAAGUAAGAAAAAUGAAUGGAU